This 349-nucleotide transfer-messenger RNA is filed under the name uncultured Eubacterium sp. It matches the Rfam family "transfer-messenger RNA". From Rfam's summary of the family: Bacterial tmRNA, also known as 10Sa RNA or SsrA, is named for its dual tRNA and mRNA-like properties. Its role is to liberate the mRNA from a stalled ribosome. To accomplish this part of the tmRNA is used as a reading frame that ends in a translation stop signal. Lineage: Bacteria; Bacillati; Bacillota; Clostridia; Eubacteriales; Eubacteriaceae. The record is from RNAcentral.
GGGGAUGAAAGGAUUUCGACAGGGGUAACAAACCUUGGUCAGCGGGUAGCGGAGUUGCACCGCUUUAAAAGUAACACUUUAAAAUUAACUGACAAUAAUAAGACAGUUUUAAAGGCUGCGUAAGCGCCUUUCGUUCUGCCUGAGCUUGCCGCAGUUCAGGUAAGGGCGUCGACUUAGCGGCGAACAUGAACGGGGGAGUGUUCCGACCUCCGUCAGGUAACAGGGACUACCGUAAGCGAUAGGCUGUUUGCUGCCGCUCGCUGAGGGGAAUCUUAAAGAACAAACUACACCCGUAGAGCCCUUGGCAAGAUACUUUUGGACGCGAGUUCGAUUCUCGCCAUCUCCACCA